GACUGUUUUGAAUUAAGGAGAUCAGGCAUGAACACUGACAUUAAGUCAAGUAAAUAAUUUGAGAAUAAAUGCAUAUAAAAUAAUUUUAUUAUUCUUUUAUUCACAAUAUAUAUGUGGUUUUUGGCUCCGAUUCUGACCAAUGCUUAUAUUCCAAAUAUAUAUGCAUGUAUAUGUCGAUAUUGUUGUUGUUGUUACCAAUUAUGUAAAUCAAUUGUAUCUGAUGUUAUGCCCUUUAUGGGCCCUGUAAUUUAGGAAAUAAAAAUAUUCUAUUCUAUUCUAUUCUAUUGUAAAAGUCUGAGAAAAACCACCAACUGUUUAGUAGCCGCAAUUGCAUGGUCAUCGAUCGUAACAUCCCUCAAGUAAAUACAUAUACAGUGCAAGACAGAUGACACUUCCGGACGCAGACGAUGAAAUCAAACAACACUUCAUACUUUGUAAAUAAAGUCUAUGUAAUUGUUCAACAUAAUCAAUUAAAAGUUACGCCAUUGAAUACAUCAGAUCUGAUAUUCUGGCUCUUUGUAACGAGUUUGUAGUUUUAUAAUUUGUAACGCACGUCGCUUGUGAUAACUUCCGCGUGCCAUAUCAACAUAGAGAUAAAAACUGGGGAUUAAAAUCAGAUAACAAAGCGCUUAAUAUAUAGUUUACAAUGUAUCUCACAAAGUCUGAACAUUUCAUGCUUCCGUGUUAUUGCUUUAAUUGAACACGUUCUAUCUAUAAGUACAAUCAUUCCUUUUCAACAAAAAAAAAGUGUUUAAUCAGAUAAUUUUGAAGUAUAUUUUAAUAAAAAAUAGAUUCUAAACCUUUUCUAUGAAAUGGCCUUCAUGAAUGCAGGAACUUGAAGUACAGGGUUGUCAUUGGCAAGAUAAAUGUUGUUGUUUUUUUUCUUUAUGGUCAUGGAAUUUGUUUUAUUUUCUAGAAUUUUUCUAGACUGUCCUUUCCGUGUGUUUUCUCAGACUGUCCCUUUUUAAGCGACAAUUUUCAUAACAAUUCUAAGCCUGACAGAUAAAGCAUGUGCAUAAUUACCUAAACAAACCCUGGAACAAGAACGUAUAUUAAAUGUUAAUCAAACGACCUAGAUGGUUCUCUUUUUCUUUAUGGAAGUACAAUAUCAAAUAUCAGUUUCAUUACGGUGAC
Molecule: long non-coding RNA, 1134 nt
Filed under: Mytilus galloprovincialis (Mediterranean mussel)
Lineage: Eukaryota; Metazoa; Mollusca; Bivalvia; Mytilida; Mytilidae
Source: RNAcentral